GACGAACGCUGGCGGCGUGCUUAACACAUGCAAGUCGAACGGAAAGGCCCUGCUUGCAGGGUACUCGAGUGGCGAACGGGUGAGUAACACGUGGGUGAUCUGCCCUGCACUUCGGGAUAAGCUUGGGAAACUGGGUCUAAUACCGGAUAGGACCGCACUUUAGUGUGUGUGGUGGAAAGUUUUUUCGGUGUAGGAUGAGCUCGCGGCCUAUCAGCUUGUUGGUGGGGUAAUGGCCUACCAAGGCGGCGACGGGUAGCCGGCCUGAGAGGGUGUACGGCCAAAUGGGGAUGGAGAUACGCCCAAGACUCCAACGGGGGGCGGCGGUGGGAAAAAUGGCACAAGGGGGGCAAGCUGGAGGCGGGAAGGCGGGGUGGGGAUGAAGGCCUUCGGGUUGUAAACUCCUUUCGCUAGGGACGAAGCUUUUUGUGACGGUACCUAGAUAAGAAGCACCGGCUAACUACGUG
Molecule: ribosomal RNA, 464 nt
Filed under: uncultured bacterium
Lineage: Bacteria
Description: partial 16S ribosomal RNA
Rfam family: Bacterial small subunit ribosomal RNA
Source: RNAcentral